GGCAUGAAUGUGCAGCGGAUUCUCAAGCAGUAACAGCUGAUUCAGGAGCAGUAAGAGCUUCGAGUGGAACAGCUUCUUCUAUUCCUUGUUGGCCUGCAGCUCUCCUUCUCUUGGGUAUCUGUUGAGUCUGCCCUGUGCCGAACUGAAGCCAACUCUUGCUUCUUCUGUUGUAAAGAACGUUGAAUAUGUCCAAACGAGUGUUUGUUCCAGAGCCGAAGAUUAAGAUUAGUACGACACGAUUUAAUUUAAUAAAGUAGUAGUUUUGCUACUACAAUAGAGUAGUUAUGAGUUUUCAGCCUAAUCGAUCAGAGGAAUUUUCUUCAAUCUCAUCCUCGAACAGGCCGCAAUAUUUCCUAUUUCUCGUCCAAGCCUUUAUGAGGAGGUGAUUCCCUUUCUUCCACACCGAACAAGCCCCAUUGCUCAAAGUGCUCUGAAUCCGGUCAACAAAUAAGGACCCGGGCUAAGCCUUC
RNAcentral lists this unclassified non-coding RNA (470 nucleotides) under Hevea brasiliensis (rubber tree). The record is from RNAcentral. Lineage: Eukaryota; Viridiplantae; Streptophyta; Magnoliopsida; Malpighiales; Euphorbiaceae.